RNAcentral lists this ribosomal RNA (376 nucleotides) under uncultured bacterium. Its description in RNAcentral is "bacterial SSU rRNA". It matches the Rfam family "Bacterial small subunit ribosomal RNA", at positions 524 to 898 of the family's 1533-position model. The record is from RNAcentral.
GACGAACCGUACGAACGUUAUUCGGAAUCACUGGGCUUAAAGAGUUCGUAGGCGGCCAUGCAGGUGAGAUGUGAAAUCCCUCGUCUCAACCGAGGAAUUGCGUUUCAAACCGCAUGGCUAGAGGAAGAUAGGGGUGAGCGGAACUGAUGGUGGAGCGGUGAAAUGCGUUGAUAUCAUCAGGAACACCAGAGGCGAAGGCGGCUCACUGGGUCUUUUCUGACGCUGAGGAACGAAAGCUAGGGGAGCAAACGGGAUUAGAUACCCCGGUAGUCCUAGCUGUAAACGAUGAGCACUGGAUCGUGGGGGCCUCCACACCCCCUCGGUCGUAGCGAAAGUGUUAAGUGCUCCGCCUGGGGAGUAUGGUCGCAAGGCUGAA